ACGACCUUACUUGAACAGGAUCUGUUCUAUAGGCUCGUACCUCUGUAUUCUUGAUUCCUAAGAAGACAGAAACCCAUGUCUGGUUGAUGAGCCAGGACCGGACCGGUGGUGCCAGGUC
This 118-nucleotide small nucleolar RNA is filed under the name Helianthus annuus (common sunflower). Its description in RNAcentral is "Plant small nucleolar RNA U3". It matches the Rfam family "Plant small nucleolar RNA U3". From Rfam's summary of the family: Small nucleolar RNAs (snoRNAs) are involved in the processing and modification of rRNA in the nucleolus. There are two main classes of snoRNAs: the box C/D class, and the box H/ACA class. U3 snoRNA is a member of the box C/D class. The record is from RNAcentral. Lineage: Eukaryota; Viridiplantae; Streptophyta; Magnoliopsida; Asterales; Asteraceae.